GUUUAUGGCCAUGCUACCCUGAACAAGCCCAAUCCCGUCUGAUCUUGGAAGCUAAGCAGGGUCAGAUCUGGUUAGUACUUGGAUGGGAGACCACCUAGGAAGACCGGGUGCUGUAGGCA
Molecule: ribosomal RNA, 119 nt
Filed under: Pteropus alecto (black flying fox)
Lineage: Eukaryota; Metazoa; Chordata; Mammalia; Chiroptera; Pteropodidae
Source: RNAcentral